AGUGAACGCUGGCGGUAGGCCUAACACAUGCAAGUCGAACGGCAGCACAGUAAGAGCUUGCUCUUACGGGUGGCGAGUGGCGGACGGGUGAGGAAUACAUCGGAAUCUACUUUUUCGUGGGUGAUAACGUAGGGAAACUUACGCUAAUACCGCAUACGACCUACGGGUGAAAGCAGGGGAUCUUCGGACCUUGCGCGAUUGAAUGAGCCGAUGUCGAAUUAGCUAGUUGGCGGGGUAAAGGCCCACCAAGGCGACGAUCCGUAGCUGGUCUGAGAGGAUGAUCAGCCACACUGGAACUGAGACACGGUCCAGACUCCUACGGGAGGCAGCAGUGGGGAAUAUUGGACAAUGGGCGCAAGCCUGAUCCAGCCAUACCGCGUGGGUGAAGAAGGCCUUCGGGUUGUAAAGCCCUUUUGUUGGGAAAGAAAAGCAGCAGGUUAAUACCCCGCUGUUCUGACGGUACCCAAAGAAUAAGCACCGGCUAACUUCGUG
Molecule: ribosomal RNA, 492 nt
Filed under: uncultured bacterium
Lineage: Bacteria
Description: partial 16S ribosomal RNA
Rfam family: Bacterial small subunit ribosomal RNA
Source: RNAcentral